This is a long non-coding RNA of Culex quinquefasciatus (southern house mosquito), 997 nucleotides long. RefSeq lists it as uncharacterized. The record is from RefSeq and is a predicted model, not a curated record. NCBI's taxonomy places the organism in Eukaryota, Metazoa, Arthropoda, Insecta, Diptera, Culicidae. The transcript is spliced from 3 exons.
CCGAAGUUGUUCUAAGUGCACCUCUACUGAGGGUUCUAGGACUUCGACUCGGUCACUUUUACCCUGAUCGUGGAGGAAGCAGGAGUGGUCGAAGGACCGUUUUGGAAUCGUUUUUAGGAAAGCUCGCGGCUAGGUAGAGUUAGGAGUAGGGUAGUGGCGGAACCGUUUGAAACCCUGAUACUCCAGGUGGCGACCGGCAUCAUCCGUAGCAGAGCGACCACUCCAACCGACAACCCAGCGCUUCUGGACUCCACCAAGGGGUCGAAGUUCCGGGGUGAACCCCCAAGCAGCUCGUCCGUCAACACACGAGCUGGGCGGCGUCCAUCAACACACGCCGCGGUCGAACCCUCGACAACCAACCGACCGGAACGAGACGGCCUCGUGGAGGCCUAGGUACACCACCAAGUUCCCGCGCGCAUCCGCGCCGUCGUCGCAACCGACGCUAUCAUCGCAGCAUCCUAGCUGCACACCUGUGCGCCCCCGCAUACCGGAAGUGAUGCUGAACACCCGCCGAUAGUGCCAACCCGUCUGCUGUUAGCCGCCGGCCGAACCAUCUCGCCGUGGCCGAAGCGGUAAGCGCGCCACCACCUGAUCGCCGGAUCGCCAACCAACACACGUAAAUCCAUGGUCGUGUAAGUACAAACCCUUUUUCGACAUGCGCAUGAUCGAUCGUUUGCCAACACUCUUUCCGCCAACCCAGUGGGCAACAUAAGCCACCCCCAUGUUAUGUUGCGUGAUCGCAAGCCCCAGUGAGUUAUAGCGAUCCCCGAAUGAAUUUCGCCCCCCAAGCCAACGCACACUACUAGCCAGCCAGUGCACUGCCGUCAGGUAGAGAGACAGAAAUUCUCUUGUGGUACCGAGGUACCGUGGUAGACUAGCAUGCAGAAGAUCUCUGGAUCGAAUCUCGUAGGGCCCGAAGUAUUUUUUUGUAAUUAAAUAAAAUUGUAGCUACGAAAAUGCGAACCUGAAUAUACGUUUUUUUGAGUUUCUAGAGUAA